UACGGAGGAUCCGAGCGUUAUCCGGAUUUAUUGGGUUUAAAGGGAGCGUAGGUGGACAGUUAAGUCAGUUGUGAAAGUUUGCGGCUCAACCGUAAAAUUGCAGUUGAUACUGGCUGUCUUGAGUACAGUAGAGGUGGGCGGAAUUCGUGGUGUAGCGGUGAAAUGCUUAGAUAUCACGAAGAACUCCGAUUGCGAAGGCAGCUCACUGGACUGCAACUGACACUGAUGCUCGAAAGUGUGGGUAUCAAACAGGAUUAGAUACCCUGGUAGUCCACACAGUAAACGAUGAAUACUCGCUGUUUGCGAUAUACAGUAAGCGGCCAAGCGAAAGCAUUAAGUAUUCCACCUGGGGAGUACGCCGGCAACGGUGAA
RNAcentral lists this ribosomal RNA (372 nucleotides) under uncultured bacterium. Its description in RNAcentral is "bacterial SSU rRNA". It matches the Rfam family "Bacterial small subunit ribosomal RNA", at positions 524 to 898 of the family's 1533-position model. The record is from RNAcentral.